UUCCAUGGUGAACUUAUGGCACUGAAAUGGUGUGACAACAAGGCAGUCACAAUGUUGUCAAUAUUCCACAAUGAUACUGUGAUUGAAGUAGACAACAGAUGGAAAGAAAACUAAGAAGCCAUGUGUCAUUGUGGAUUAUAACGAUAAUAUGGGAGCAGUGGACUUGGCUGAUCAGAUGCUCACUUCUUAUCCAGCUUAGCGCCAAAGGUACAAGGUUUGGUAUAAGAUAUUCUUUCACCUUCUAAACGUUAAAGUGUUGAACUCCCACAUUCUGUUUAAGAAGGACAAUCCUGAGCACACGAUUAGCCUUGUAAACUUUAGAC
RNAcentral lists this long non-coding RNA (323 nucleotides) under Homo sapiens (human). Its description in RNAcentral is "non-protein coding lnc-WDR70-4:1". Lineage: Eukaryota; Metazoa; Chordata; Mammalia; Primates; Hominidae. The record is from RNAcentral.